GUCUACAGCCAUACCACCCUAAAUGUGCCCGAUCUCAUCUGAUCUCAGAAGCUAAGCAGGGUUGAGCCUGGUUAGUACUUGGAUGGGAAAAGAUCCAAUGCGUCGAUGAUG
Molecule: ribosomal RNA, 111 nt
Filed under: Vicugna pacos (alpaca)
Lineage: Eukaryota; Metazoa; Chordata; Mammalia; Artiodactyla; Camelidae
Source: RNAcentral